UAGGGAAUAUUAGUAAUGGGCGCAAGCCUGAACUAGCGACACCGCGUGUGCGAAGAAGGCCUUCGGGUUGUAAAGCACUUUUAGAGGGGAUGAGGAAGGACGGUACUCUCUGAAUAAGUCUUGGCUAACUACGUGCCAGCAGCCGCGGUAACACGUAGGAGGCAAACGUUAUCCGGAUUUACUGGGCGUAAAGCGCGUGUAGGUGGUUCUGUAAGUAGGGCGUGAAAGCUCCCGGCUCAACUGGGAGAGGCCGUUCUAAACUGCAGAGCUAGAGGAUGGUAGAGGGAGGUGGAAUUCCGGGUGUAGCGGUGGAAUGCGCAGAUAUCCGGAGGAACACCAGUGGCGAAGGCGACCUCCUGGGCCACUCCUGACACUCAGACGCGAAAGCUAGGGUAGCAAACGG
This 403-nucleotide ribosomal RNA is filed under the name uncultured bacterium. RNAcentral's name for it is "bacterial SSU rRNA". It matches the Rfam family "Bacterial small subunit ribosomal RNA", at positions 355 to 775 of the family's 1533-position model. The record is from RNAcentral.